AACCUAUAAAACCAUGUUCAGGGCAUCCAAAGUUGCAGAGGAAAGAUGGAAAAAGGUGGAUGACUCUCUUCCGGCGUGGCUGAUCGUGAGGGCAGGCCUUGGGAGACAAGGAGAAGCUAAGACCGGCUAAACGUGGUAGAUGGACCACAGACUCACAACUGCAAACACACUUUUUAAAAGAUAUGACCCAGAAAGGAUAAAAAGAACAGAAAAGGAGAAGCAAUGAAAGACAGUCAAGUGCAAACUGGAAGGCAGUCAGUCUUCAGGGUUGACGACUGUUUCAUCGACAACAUCAAGGAGGUGCACCCCUACUCUGACGUCUUGGAGGGUUUGUGCAAAGGUGA
Manis javanica (Malayan pangolin) is the source of this 344-nucleotide long non-coding RNA. RefSeq lists it as uncharacterized. Lineage: Eukaryota; Metazoa; Chordata; Mammalia; Pholidota; Manidae. The record is from RefSeq and is a predicted model, not a curated record.